MicroRNA precursor from Oryza sativa Japonica Group (Japanese rice), 208 nucleotides. It matches the Rfam family "MIR812 microRNA precursor family". The record is from Rfam. Lineage: Eukaryota; Viridiplantae; Streptophyta; Magnoliopsida; Poales; Poaceae.
AAUAAGUGCAGUUUUGCACUAUUCAUCUCUAAUGUUUAACCAUUCGUUUUAUUUGAAAAUUUUUUAUGAUUACUAUUUUUAUUGUUAUUAGAUGAUAAAACAUGAAUAGCACUUUAUGUGUGACUAUUUUAUUAAAAAAAUUUCAUAAUUUUUUUAAAUAAGAUGCACGGUCAUACGUUGGACACGGAUUUUCACGGCUGCACUUGUU